Molecule: long non-coding RNA, 443 nt
Filed under: Brachypodium distachyon (stiff brome)
Lineage: Eukaryota; Viridiplantae; Streptophyta; Magnoliopsida; Poales; Poaceae
Description: long non-coding RNA (BDIS_LNC003948)
Source: RNAcentral
AAAUUUCUGUCAUACUCCGUAGUUGAACUCGCGGAAGUUUGGAACCGACAAAGUGAACAAAGCAUAUCAUGCUUCCCGUGAUAGCUUUUCGUUUCAGGCCCAAGCCCAACCUGCUAACCCUACAAGGAAAGCUGCCUUGCUCUGACCAGCCCACUGGGGUAACAUCCGGACACAAAGGACCAAGUCGGCCCAAAGGUGCCAUCACGGGCCAAUAGAAACUUCGUUAUAGGCGAUCGUCAACUUCGGAAAAAAAGAAAGAAAAAGAACUCCGACUGUCAAGCAUGAAUCAUAUUUUACGCUACGCCGGCUAAUCUGUACAGUUCGUGUGAUAUCAAAAGAGAAGAACUUGACGAAAAAAGAACAAGCUGGCACAAUCUAGUCCUGUGUUCUCCCAAGGAAGCUGAACACAUAAGGAGACGAGCCUAGCUCACUUAGUUGGGAAA